Molecule: ribosomal RNA, 203 nt
Filed under: uncultured bacterium
Lineage: Bacteria
Description: partial 16S ribosomal RNA
Source: RNAcentral
CGCCCCCCCCGCCGCGCGCGGCGGGCGGGGGSGGGGCACGGGGGGCSUACGGGAGGCAGCAGUAAGGAAUAUUGGWCAAUSAACSCAAGGGUGAUCCAGCCAUGCCGCGGCAGGAAGAMGGCCCUAUGGAUUGUAAACGGMUGGGUACAGGAGAAAACCCCUGAAMGAUAGCUAAUGWGAUUGUACGGAGAUAGGCUUCCUCC